ACACACUAUCAUUAACUGAAUCCAUAGGUUAAUGAGGCGAACCGGGGGAACUGAAACAUCUAAGUACCCCGAGGAAAAGAAAUCAACCGAGAUUCCCCCAGUAGCGGCGAGCGAACGGGGAGGAGCCCAGAGCCUGAAUCAGUGUGUGUGUUAGUGGAAGCGUCUGGAAAGGCGUGCGAUACAGGGUGACAGCCCCGUACACAAAAAUGCACAUAUUGUGAGCUCGAUGAGUAGGGCGGGACACGUGGUAUCCUGUCUGAAUAUGGGGGGACCAUCCUCCAAGGCUAAAUACUCCUGACUGACCGAUAGUGAACCAGUACCGUGAGGGAAAGGCGAAAAGAACCCCGGCGAGGGGAGUGAAAAAGAACCUGAAACCGUGUACGUACAAGCAGUGGGAGCCUCUUAAUGGGGUGACUGCGUACCUUUUGUAUAAUGGGUCAGCGACUUAUAUUCUGUAGCAAGGUUAACCGAAUAGGGGAGCCGAAGGGAAACCGAGUCUUAACUGGGCGUUAAGUUGCAGGGUAUAGACCCGAAACCCGGUGAUCUAGCCAUGGGCAGGUUGAAGGUUGGGUAACACUAACUGGAGGACCGAACCGACUAAUGUUGAAAAAUUAGCGGAUGACUUGUGGCUGGGGGUGAAAGGCCAAUCAAACCGGGAGAUAGCUGGUUCUCCCCGAAAGCUAUUUAGGUAGCGCCUCGUGAAUUCAUCUCCGGGGGUAGAGCACUGUUUCGGCAAGGGGGUCAUCCCGACUUACCAACCCGAUGCAAACUGCGAAUACCGGAGAAUGUUAUCACGGGAGACACACGGCGGGUGCUAACGUCCGUCGUGAAGAGGGAAACAACCCAGACCGCCAGCUAAGGUCCCAAAGUCAUGGUUAAGUGGGAAACGAUGUGGGAAGGCCCAGACAGCCAGGAUGUUGGCUUAGAAGCAGCCAUCAUUUAAAGAAAGCGUAAUAGCUCACUGGUCGAGUCGGCCUGCGCGGAAGAUGUAACGGGGCUAAACCAUG
This 1007-nucleotide ribosomal RNA is filed under the name Escherichia coli. RNAcentral describes it as "partial 23S ribosomal RNA". It matches the Rfam family "Bacterial large subunit ribosomal RNA", at positions 143 to 1191 of the family's 2925-position model. Lineage: Bacteria; Pseudomonadati; Pseudomonadota; Gammaproteobacteria; Enterobacterales; Enterobacteriaceae. The record is from RNAcentral.